UACGGGAGGCAGCAGUGGGGAAUAUUGCACAAUGGGCGCAAGCCUGAUGCAGCCAUGCCGCGUGUAUGAAGAAGGCCUUCGGGUUGUAAAGUACUUUCAGUCGUGAGGAAGGUGUUAAGGUUAAUAACCUUAGCAAUUGACGUUAGCGACAGAAGAAGCACCGGCUAACUCCGUGCCAGCAGCCGCGGUAAUACGGAGGGUGCGAGCGUUAAUCGGAAUUACUGGGCGUAAAGGGCACGCAGGCGGUUAAUUAAGUUGGAUGUGAAAUCCCCGGGCUUAACCUGGGAAUGGCAUUCAAGCUGGUUAGCUAGGGUCUUGUAGAGGGGGUAGAAUUCCAUGUGUAGCGGUGAAAUGCGUAGAGAUGUGGAGGAAUACCGGUGGCGAAGGCGGCCCCUGGACAAAGACUGACGCUCAUGUGCGAAAGCGUGGGGAGCAAACAGGGAUUAGAUACC
This 452-nucleotide ribosomal RNA is filed under the name uncultured bacterium. RNAcentral describes it as "bacterial SSU rRNA". It matches the Rfam family "Bacterial small subunit ribosomal RNA", at positions 340 to 786 of the family's 1533-position model. The record is from RNAcentral.